CCGUUAAUUGAUGUAUGACGUACUUGUACUGAUUGAGAUUUUAACACGAAGUGAGUGGCGAACGGGUGAGUAACACGUGGGUAACCUGCCCAGAAGUAGGGGAUAACACCUGGAAACAGAUGCUAAUACCGUAUAACAGAGAAAACCGCAUGGUUUUCUUUUAAAAGAUGGCUCUGCUAUCACUUCUGGAUGGACCCGCGGCGUAUUAGCUAGUUGGUGAGGUAAAGGCUCACCAAGGCAGUGAUACGUAGCCGACCUGAGAGGGUAAUCGGCCACAUUGGGACUGAGACACGGCCCAGACUCCUACGGGAGGCAGCAGUAGGGAAUCUUCCACAAUGGACGCAAGUCUGAUGGAGCAACGCCGCGUGAGUGAAGAAGGGUUUCGGCUCGUAAAGCUCUGUUGUUAAAGAAGAACGUGGGUAAGAGUAACUGUUUACCCAGUGACGGUAUUUAACCAGAAAGCCACGGCUAACUACGUGCCAGCAGCCGCGGUAAUACGUAGGUGGCAAGCGUUAUCCGGAUUUAUUGGGCGUAAAGCGAGCGCAGGCGGCUUUUAAGUCUAAUGUGAAAGCCUUCGGCUCACCGAAGAAGUGCAUUGGACACUGGGAGACUUGAGUGCAUAAAAGGACAG
RNAcentral lists this ribosomal RNA (631 nucleotides) under Pediococcus pentosaceus. Its description in RNAcentral is "bacterial SSU rRNA". It matches the Rfam family "Bacterial small subunit ribosomal RNA", at positions 45 to 661 of the family's 1533-position model. The record is from RNAcentral. Lineage: Bacteria; Bacillati; Bacillota; Bacilli; Lactobacillales; Lactobacillaceae.